This 507-nucleotide ribosomal RNA is filed under the name uncultured Flavobacterium sp. RNAcentral describes it as "bacterial SSU rRNA". It matches the Rfam family "Bacterial small subunit ribosomal RNA", at positions 9 to 517 of the family's 1533-position model. Lineage: Bacteria; Pseudomonadati; Bacteroidota; Flavobacteriia; Flavobacteriales; Flavobacteriaceae. The record is from RNAcentral.
GAGUUUGAUCCUGGCUCAGGAUGAACGCUAGCGGCAGGCUUAACACAUGCAAGUCGAGGGGUAUAGGUUUUCGGACCUAGAGACCGGCGCACGGGUGCGUAACGCGUAUGCAAUCUACCUUUUACAGAGGGAUAGCCCAGAGAAAUUUGGAUUAAUACCUCAUAGUAUAAUGAUUCGGCAUCGAGACAUUAUUAAAGUUCCAACGGUAAAAGAUGAGCAUGCGUCCCAUUAGCUAGAUGGUAAGGUAACGGCUUACCAUGGCGACGAUGGGUAGGGGUCCUGAGAGGGAGAUCCCCCACACUGGUACUGAGACACGGACCAGACUCCUACGGGAGGCAGCAGUGAGGAAUAUUGGUCAAUGGGCGCAAGCCUGAACCAGCCAUGCCGCGUGCAGGAUGACGGUCCUAUGGAUUGUAAACUGCUUUUGUACAGGAAGAAACAGUUCUACGUGUAGAACCUUGACGGUACUGUAAGAAUAAGGAUCGGCUAACUCCGUGCCAGCCGCCG